This is a non-coding RNA of Pantherophis guttatus, 428 nucleotides long. The record is from RefSeq and is a predicted model, not a curated record. Lineage: Eukaryota; Metazoa; Chordata; Lepidosauria; Squamata; Colubridae.
AAGUGUUUCAUGAACAUAGUUUCUUUCUAGAGCAGGGCUGUCAAACUCGCGGCCCACAGAACAGAUACGUCAUGCGCUGGCCACACCCACACCCGGUUUAACGAAGGGGGGAAAAAGUCACGAUACGUCACGUGAUGCUGCUGUGACAACUCAUAUUCACAUAUGCAAGUCUUCUCAUCUUUUGUCUGCCAUCAAACAUUCAUGAUUCCCUACGUUAAGUCUCUCUGUCUGGCUGUGUACAGUUGAUGUGCAUGGAAGGAGAUAUCCUCUAAUAGACUUGGUGAGCGGUGAGGCUGUGAGAAAUAAUUUAGAAUCGACGAGGGAAGCAUAAUGCUUUUUAAUUGCCAUCAAGUACCAUGUCACAGGCAUGUAUUAUUGAUACUGAUUAUCCCUAUAAAGCACUUGCUUUUCUGUGUAUUCAGCUUUGA